Molecule: ribosomal RNA, 497 nt
Filed under: uncultured bacterium
Lineage: Bacteria
Description: partial 16S ribosomal RNA
Rfam family: Bacterial small subunit ribosomal RNA
Source: RNAcentral
GAUGAACGCUGGCGGCGUGCCUAAUACAUGCAAGUCGAGCGAACAGACGAGGAGCUUGCUCCUCUGACGUUAGCGGCGGACGGGUGAGUAACACGUGGAUAACCUACCUAUAAGACUGGGAUAACUUCGGGAAACCGGAGCUAAUACCGGAUAAUAUAUUGAACCGCAUGGUUCAAUAGUGAAAGACGGUUUUGCUGUCACUUAUAGAUGGAUCCGCGCCGCAUUAGCUAGUUGGUAAGGUAACGGCUUACCAAGGCAACGAUGCGUAGCCGACCUGAGAGGGUGAUCGGCCACACUGGAACUGAGACACGGUCCAGACUCCUACGGGAGGCAGCAGUAGGGAAUCCUCCGCAAAGGGCGAAAGCCUGACGGAGCAACGCCGCGUGAGUGAUGAAGGUCUUCGGAUCGUAAAACUCUGUUAUUAGGGAAGAACAAAUGUGUAAGUAACUAUGCACGUCUUGACGGUACCUAAUCAGAAAGCCACGGCUAACUACGUG